RNAcentral lists this ribosomal RNA (440 nucleotides) under uncultured bacterium. RNAcentral describes it as "partial 16S ribosomal RNA". It matches the Rfam family "Bacterial small subunit ribosomal RNA", at positions 338 to 795 of the family's 1533-position model. The record is from RNAcentral.
CCUACGGGAGGCAGCAGUGGGGAAUAUUGCACAAUGGGGGGAACCCUGAUGCAGCAACGCCGCGUGGGUGAAGAAGUACUUCGGUAUGUAAAGCCCUUUCAGCAGGGAAGCAAAUGACGCUACCUGACCCAGAAGCCCCGUCUAACUACGGGCCAGCAGCCGCGGUAAUACGUAGGGGGCAAGCGUUAUCCGGAUUUACGGGGUGUAAAGGGAGCGUAGACGGCAAGGCAAGUCUGGAGGGAAAGCUCGUGGCUCAACCACGGGACUGCUUUGGAAACUGUGUUGCUGGAGUGCAGGAGGGGUAAGCGGAAUUCGUAGUGUAGCGGUGAAAUGCGUAGAUAUUAGGAGGAACACCGGUGGCGAAGGCGGCUUACUGGACUGUAACUGACGUUGAGGCUCGAAGGCGUGGGGAGCAAACAGGAUUAGAUACCCGGGUAGUC